UAACAGGUUAUUGGUUCAUUUCAGUUGGCAUAGUAAUGUGUUCCAAAGGUUCAGUGGUGCCAGUUUCCUUAUCUAGGACCUCCCUCAGCUAAGAGUGUCAGGGAGGUGUAGCCCUAGAGCAGUUACCCUCAGGGCACUACAGUCAUAAUAAAAAGGCCAGCUCAUUGAGCACUUAUUGAUACAGAUUUAGGGUGAUUUACACUGAUACUCCUCAUCAGAUACGCUCAGCAUUGUUCCCUCCUAAAAUUCCGCAAUGGCCGAGGUUACAAAGAUUGCUCACCUAUCAGGAGAAUGGAAGAAUGAGCUGGGGUCUAUAAUGACUCUAAAGUUUGAGCCAACCAAUUCGGCGCUCAGUGGGACGUACAAAUCACUUGUGGGAGAACAUCCGCAUGACACUAAAGAACUCAAUGAACCAUUGGUGGGCUUCUACAACAUAAAGGAACCACAAAUCCAACCAUCGCCUUCUGCAUU
This is a long non-coding RNA of Oncorhynchus kisutch (coho salmon), 471 nucleotides long. RefSeq lists it as uncharacterized. NCBI's taxonomy places the organism in Eukaryota, Metazoa, Chordata, Actinopteri, Salmoniformes, Salmonidae. The transcript has 3 exons. The record is from RefSeq and is a predicted model, not a curated record.